GCUUUAGUAGUUUAACAAAAACACUGGUCUUGUAAACCGGAAAAGAAAGCUAUUUCCUAAAGUA
RNAcentral lists this transfer RNA (64 nucleotides) under Stygiocaris stylifera. RNAcentral's name for it is "tRNA-Thr". It matches the Rfam family "tRNA". From Rfam's summary of the family: Transfer RNA (tRNA) molecules are approximately 80 nucleotides in length. The record is from RNAcentral. Lineage: Eukaryota; Metazoa; Arthropoda; Malacostraca; Decapoda; Atyidae.